AACUUCUUGCAGCAGUGAUGCCUCUUUCAUUUUGCCACAGCCUGUGGCAUUUUGCAUCCACAACACCUCUUAACGAGUCUGAAUAAAACACAGGGAUUGAUGUAAAAACCUAACUGUGAAGAAACACCUCCUCCUGCAACUCACUUGGGGGGUUUUCUAUGCUGUCAGUGCUGUGCUGAACUGUAAUGCAUUUCUCCUUCCAAUAUAUUUUUUGUAAGGUCUGGAUGGUAUACAAGUUCCAUCAUACAGAAAUAAACAUACUGGUUGGCUCUUCAGCAUGGAAGCUCAGGGAAAUACGGCUUUAUAAAAUUUAAUUUGCAAACUGAAAUGCUGUGACCAAGAAUCUCUGCAGUUAGUAACUAAUUCCAGAUUUGGGGCUGAUGGUGAAUGUCUCAGAGCCUCUUCCUCGCCCCCAAAAAACGCCGUCCGUGCGUAGCAGCGCUGCAGUACCACACUGCGUCCAGCAGGUGGCGCUGCUGCUCACAGGCGGCGGUGGGGCGGGCACAUGCAAAUCUACCGCGGCGCUGAGCCAAUCGGCUGCCACCGGGCGCGGAGCGGGGGCAGAUGGGAGCAGAGCGGUCCGGUCCCAGGGCUCGCUCGGGAGCGCGAACGGAGAGAGAAGAGACAGCGUAGAGCCUGCGGGGGAGGAUAAUCGAGAGCUGUAGGUCUUGAUAUCGCUUCCCACUCUGAGCACGAGGAGGAGGCUCGGGAUGCCAAUCUGGUUCUCCAUGUCAUGGUACACGUGCGCCUGUGUUUCCGGAAGUAGUCUCUGAUUGUCGUGCACUCCUACGCCGCCGGUUCGCUAUUUUCUAUGGUUUUCAGUCCUCCGGAAGGUGAAACGCAUGCGCCCGGCAACACGGAAGUAGCGUCUUUCUGCAGGGACAGCUGUACACCAGCAGUACGCUGAUCUCUAUUGUACCCGGUCCUCCUGAUUGUUCUACGCAUGCGCACCGCAAUGCGCAGGUGCCGCCGCUCCGCACGCGUGCGCAAUUCACGUGGAGGACCGAUGACCAUAGAGCCUGCUGGAACCGGGGGCCUAGCGCGGCCUGCAGGAAGUCGCUGUGUUUACUUCCUGCUGCGUUGGGUUGCAGCUACGUGGCGGCGCGGCGGGCGCGAUGCGGAUCUUGAUGGUGAUGCUGCAGCCGAGGCCCUGUGAGCAGCAGUUACACUGCAGUACCCCUGCUACCCACAACGGCCUUCCAGUUAACUCUUCUCUGUAUUCUUAGAACGCUUCUUGGAGCAGUGCUGCAUCCAUCAGUGGUUUUUGUUCUCACAGCCAUGAACUCUGCAUGGGGAAGAACUGAUCAGUCUGCUCCAGUGGCUUGGCUGUAGAAGUGCUGAAAAGUCCUGCAAUCAUUUUGGAAGCCAGGGGCUUGCUGAAGAGUAUCUGAUACCCAUUGUGGAAGCUACAAAGCCUCAUCAUAACCUUGUUUGCACGUUUCCCACCUCUCCAUCUGUGGAACGUCUCUAAAACCACCAAUAUGAAUAAGAAGAUAAGUACCAACGUUACUUUGCAGCCUGAGCUCUGUACAGUCAGGCAGGAUGUUUUUAUUUGUUUCACACCAAGGAAAAAAUAACACCGGUGAACCUCCAGGUGGUUUUUGGCACAUCUGAAAGCUUCCCGUGGGCUCACCCAGCAGUCACGUGCAAUAGGGCACAAUGCACCACAGCACUGUGCAGGAGACACGCAGCCAAGAGCAACACUGCAGAACGCUUUCUGGGACAAAAUGACCUCACCAUAACGUUUGAACUGGGAUACACAAUUCCAGAGGCUUUGAUGUUAGUCCAGGCCAGGGGAUCCGAAAACAUAGUGUGAGUGUUGGGUUUUCCUGAUGAACUUUGCUAUCUAAGUGUUUUAUAGUUACUUUUUAUUCUUUGCAAUUAAAAUAACCAGGGAAAGAACCUUCUUUGUCUUUCUUUGUCCCUCGCUCAGUCUGUAGGGCAUUUUCACAUGCAAACAAAGUAUCACAACACUGCUCAAGUACUUCAACCUUCCUGGAAAAUAACACUUGAUGAGUAAGACACCAUUGAUUCUUUCAGUAGGGACUGUGAAAUAUGAGGAAUAAAGCACAGCAAGGCUUAUCACAGGAAGCAGGCAGAAAUGAAGGGACUCUGAGGGUGACCUGUCCUGCUUAGAGCACGGAGGCUGCUCCCAAAAAUGCCUGUGCAAGUACUAUGGCCUUGUCAGCAUUCUCUUUAGGUACUCAGCAGUUGCACCAAAUACAACAUCCCCUGUAAUGUAUUGCAUGGAUCCUAUCUGCAAUUGUUUAAACCUGGUGCUUUUUUAAAGACCAUUACCCUUUUUACCAAUUGCCUUCAGCACAACUGGCUCUUUAUGGCAUGUUUACAGUAUAUAUUAGAGAGAGCGGAGUGUGUAAAUUCCUCCCAUGCCGGCAGUGGUGGUCUGAUGCAGAACAGGCUGCCUCUGUGCAAAGGCUGCACAUGAAAAUAGCAGAGGGAAGACAACGUAUCCACAGUGGAUGAGCCUUUCUGAGUUGGGUGUACAUGCGUUCCAGAUGCAAGGAUGGCCCAACUGUUAGAAUACAUCGUAUGACAACGUCUUCUCACUGUAGCCAACAGUAGAGAGCACUCGUUUGUUCUAAAGAAAGCUCUGGAAAACACCCUUGUUCAUUUCUCUCCGAGAUCAUAAGAAAUCAAGAGGGUACAAAUGAACUGAGAAACCAUUUCAUGUCUAAUAGGCCACUCCUGUUCAGG
This is a long non-coding RNA of Gallus gallus (chicken), 2715 nucleotides long. The record is from Ensembl. Lineage: Eukaryota; Metazoa; Chordata; Aves; Galliformes; Phasianidae.